GAUGAACGCUCGCUACAGGCUUAACACAUGCAAGUCGCGGGGCAGCAUGGGGGUUGCUUGCAAUCCCCGAUGGCGACCGGCGCACGGGUGAGUAACGCGUAUCCAACCUGCCCUUCACCACGGGAUAACCCGGCGAAAGUCGGACUAAUACCGUAUGUUGUCCAUUGACGGCCUCCGAUUUGGACGAAAGGCUUGGCGGUGAGGGAUGGGGAUGCGUCCGAUUAGCCAGACGGCGGGGUAACGGCCCACCGUGGCUACGAUCGGUAGGGGUUCUGAGAGGAAGGUCCCCCACACUGGAACUGAGACACGGUCCAGACUCCUACGGGAGGCAGCAGUGAGGAAUAUUGGUCAAUGGGCGUAAGCCUGAACCAGCCAAGUAGCGUGCAGGAGGACGGCCCUAUGGGUUGUAAACUGCUUUUAUGCGGGGAUAAAGUGGCCCACGUGUGGGCUUUUGCAGGUACCGCAUGAAUAAGGACCGGCUAAUUCCGUG
RNAcentral lists this ribosomal RNA (490 nucleotides) under uncultured bacterium. RNAcentral's name for it is "partial 16S ribosomal RNA". It matches the Rfam family "Bacterial small subunit ribosomal RNA", at positions 28 to 507 of the family's 1533-position model. The record is from RNAcentral.